This 532-nucleotide ribosomal RNA is filed under the name uncultured bacterium. RNAcentral describes it as "bacterial SSU rRNA". It matches the Rfam family "Bacterial small subunit ribosomal RNA", at positions 356 to 895 of the family's 1533-position model. The record is from RNAcentral.
GGGGAAUAUUGCACAAUGGGCGCAAGCCUGAUGCAGCGACGCCGCGUGGGGGAUGAAGGCCUUCGGGUUGUAAACUCCUUUCGCUAGGGACGAAGCUUUUUGGUGACGGUACCUAGAUAAGAAGCACCGGCUAACUACGUGCCAGCAGCCGCGGUAAUACGUAGGGUGCGAGCGUUGUCCGGAAUUACUGGGCGUAAAGGGCUCGUAGGUGGUUUGUCGCGUCGUCUGUGAAAUUCUGGGGCUUAACUCCGGGCGUGCAGGCGAUACGGGCAUAACUUGAGUGCUGUAGGGGUAACUGGAAUUCCUGGUGUAGCGGUGAAAUGCGCAGAUAUCAGGAGGAACACCGAUGGCGAAGGCAGGUUACUGGGCAGUUACUGACGCUGAGGAGCGAAAGCAUGGGUAGCGAACAGGAUUAGAUACCCUGGUAGUCCAUGCCGUAAACGGUGGGCGCUAGGUGUGAGGGUCUUUCUACGACUUUCGUGCCGUAGCUAACGCAUUAAGCGCCCCGCCUGGGGAGUACGGCCGCAAGGCU